RNAcentral lists this long non-coding RNA (1319 nucleotides) under Bos indicus x Bos taurus (hybrid cattle). Its description in RNAcentral is "lncRNA (ENSBIXG00000006648.1)". The record is from RNAcentral. Lineage: Eukaryota; Metazoa; Chordata; Mammalia; Artiodactyla; Bovidae.
GCCACAGUGGCCACCGGAAGCCUCAGCCCGCUUCCGCCGUCCGCCCCCCAGUGGCCACGCCCCCCAGGAGUCGCACUUUUUUACCGCCUGGAGGCGUGUGAGAUGCGGCGUAGCGACAUCUACCCGGCCUCUCGCUCGCUCCACCCCUAGGCAGCAUUUCUAAGCGUCGGCUCACCUAGGGAGCUCAAAAGAAUGGGAAGAAGUCUACAGUGUUCACCCAUCAUCUAGGGUUCAACUGUUGUUUCCCUUUUGCCCUAUCUGCUCCAUCCUGGUCUACAGGAAGCAAGUCAACCCUCCUCUAAGCCAAGCUACAUAUGUGACUCUAGAGCACCUCCUUCCUCUUCCUGAACUUGGCACCGCCCCCUUCAGACCUUCUGGAUGCUCAGACUCCUCUGUUGAAAACACAUCGUUGGGAAGCAGGAAGAUGGAAUACUCCAUUCCAGGCAUGACUGUGGGCUGUGGAAUUUCGAGAGCAAGACAGUGGGCUGAGGGGUGGGGUUGGGUCCACCUCCCUCUGCCCUCCAGUCUCUCUGCCUAAUGCCAGAAAACUUGCCAAGGGACGUCCCCCUCCAUAUAUCUAUCUCCUUUGAAAAUGCACCCCUCUAUCUUACGCCAGGGGGACCCCAUAUUAUCCUCCCUCCUCCAGCCUGGGCCUUUCCUUGCUCUCCUGUCUCCAGAGCCCUGCUCUGAUCUUCCUGGGCCCAGGUCAAGCCCCUCUCCCAAAGGCUGUGGGUUUGCCCCUUCCAGGCUAUGUCUGAAAGACUGACUUGAAAAAGAAAGAAAAAUAAGAAUGUCAGACCAUGAUUGUGCAGGUCUAAGGUUAGUUUAUUUCUCUCCCCAAUUCAGCUUACUGUCAGCUUAUUACUGAAUAAUUUCUUCUCUAAUAGCCUUCUUCCCUGGAUAAAGAGGCCAUCAUAUUGACUUUUUUCUAAGUACAAUGGUGUGGGUGUGUGUAUGUGUGUGUGUUUGGGAGGAUAGGGGUGCAGCCAGCUUAAUGUUACUCUGAGCUGGUCGACUGAGAGCAACCUAAGCAAAUAGGAUGCGAUUCCUGGUUUUAGUGAGCGUGUAGGGGGCUGGGGGCUUGCUUCCCUGAUGGCUCAGUGGUGAAGAAUCCUCCUGCCAAUACAGAAGACUCAGUUCAAUCCCUGGGUUGGGAAUAUCCCCUGAAGAUGAAAAUGGCAACCCACUCCACUAUUUUUGCCUAGAAAAUCCUGUGGACAGAGGAGCCUGGUGGGCUACAGUCCAUGGGGUUGCAGAAGAGUCAGACAUGACUUAGGGAGUAAACAAUAAAGGGGCUGGGGAGGGGAGCGGGGAAAGCA